RNAcentral lists this ribosomal RNA (301 nucleotides) under uncultured bacterium. RNAcentral's name for it is "partial 16S ribosomal RNA". It matches the Rfam family "Bacterial small subunit ribosomal RNA", at positions 509 to 809 of the family's 1533-position model. The record is from RNAcentral.
CAGUAGCCGCGGUAAUACAGAGGGUGCGAGCGUUAAUCGGAUUUACUGGGCGUAAAGCGUGCGUAGGCGGCUUCUUAAGUCGGAUGUGAAAUCCCUGAGCUUAACUUAGGAAUUGCAUUCGAUACUGGGAAGCUAGAGUAUGGGAGAGGAUGGUAGAAUUCCAGGUGUAGCGGUGAAAUGCGUAGAGAUCUGGAGGAAUACCGAUGGCGAAGGCAGCCAUCUGGCCUAAUACUGACGCUGAGGUACGAAAGCAUGGGGAGCAAACAGGAUUAGAUACCCCCGUAGUCCCUGUCUCUUAUCC